RNAcentral lists this ribosomal RNA (267 nucleotides) under Triticum aestivum (bread wheat). RNAcentral describes it as "partial small subunit ribosomal RNA". The record is from RNAcentral. Lineage: Eukaryota; Viridiplantae; Streptophyta; Magnoliopsida; Poales; Poaceae.
AUUGGACUCGUUUUGCCUCAACAAAUAAAGGCUUGGGCUAACAAAAACCUACCUAAUGGAGAAGUCGUUGGCGAAGUCACAAGGCCCUCUACUUUUCAUUAUAAAACCGAUAAACUAGAAAAAGAUGGAUUGUUUUGCAAAAGAAUCUUUGGACCCAUAAAAAGCGGGAUUUGCGCUUGUGGCAAUUCUUGAGCGAGUGGAGCUGAAAACGAAGACGAAAGAUUUUGCCAAAAAUGCAGGGUAGAAUUUGUGGAUUCUCGGAUAUGA